UUUUUUGUUUUGUUUCCAAUAAAUUUAUAUAUAUCUUUAAACUCGAAUGUUUGACAUUAGGUUGUAUAGUGCUUGUAUUAUCUUUAAAAAUAAAAAAUAAAAAAUACCCCUAGAGAGUUAACUUCGAGAAAAUUCAAAGAGUUAAUUAAUAAUAAUAAAAAAAAGUAAUACAAAACCAAUUAAACACAAAGUUAAAAGUCGACAACUUAUUAGAAAGAUCUUUCUAAAUAUAGGGACAAAAUAGACAUAAGUAAACUUCAUUUUCCACACAUAUAUAUGUAUAUCCUCAAUUCCACCAAAUUAAAAGGGAUAAUUAGAAGAAAUUAUUUUCAAGUUUGUUUGUUUUUUAUUUUUAAAAUAUUGCAGGUUGCAUCAAGGUUUCUUCUUCUAGUUCAAGAAAUGCAUGAGAAAGACAGUGGAUCAAAAGGAUUGUUUUGUAAUUUGGGAGAUAUUCUUUUGUUUGGGAACAAACAAAGGCUAAAAGUUGGGGAUUCUGAUAAAAACAUAUAUUUGGAUUAUAGAAUUGGAAGGCUUAAAAAGUGCUUCAAUCAAUUAAAUGGUUGGAGGGAUUGUUUUUCUUCCAUGAUUGAUUUUCUUGAAGGCAAUUGUGUUUCUCAGUACCAAACAUUCUUAAAAGACAAAAAAGGACCAAAAAAAGUCAAGUCUUUUAUAGAAUUUGUAAGGAUGAAGUAUAAAACCAUUUCUUGUUCACUCAAAGAGUGCAUAUCAAUGUUUUGCACUCUCAUUCCCAAAGCCAUUUUGAAGCAUAAUUUUGAGAGGUUGGGUUGUGCUAUGAUUUUGAUAGAUUCUUUUGAAUCCUUGUUGAAUUCAAUUGGGUUGUUUCCAAGGAUCUUGAGAAGCUAUUUUCCGAAAAAUUAGAAGAAGUUGUCGAAAAUCUCGAGUAUGAGAAGUUUUUGAAGGGGAGAAAUGAUUGUGUGUUGGUUUUGAAAUCUUUGAAACAUUCGUUGAGUGAAUUUAGACUUCCUCAAAGUGCAAGCAAAGGACGGCUUAGAGACUUUUGCUUUAGGAUUGCUUCUUUGUUCUUUUGCACGGUAUCGAGCUCGUUUAAGCUGUAUUCUGUAACAAUCCAAGUAUGUAUAUAAAUAUUACCGAAAAUUAUAAGUUUUAAUUUUAAAAUUAAUUCUAAGACUAGUUGGAGAAGACCAAUUUUAAAUUUCAUACGUUAAGAUUAAAAAUGGUACAUAAAUAAUAAGGAAAAUACACAAAACAUUAGUUUGGUAAUUAAACAAAUAACAAAAUAAUAAAAUUUCUAAGAAAUAAAAUAAUGAUGAUAUGGGAUGAUUUUUAAGUAGAAAAAUCUAGUAAGUUUAAAAACAAAAUAAAUAGAUAAAAUAACUUAGAACAUCUGAGAAAUAUCUAGAUAAACUAAAAUAAUAAUAACAAUAAUAAUAAAUAAUAAAAGUUGAGUUGAAUUGGUUAGAAAAGAGAUAGCAAAAAAAUAAUGACACUUCAAAAAAAAGAGAGAGAUUAUAGGAAAUGAUUUUAUUAAUAAUAAAAACUAUUAAAAUAUGAAGAAAGUUUAAAAUAGUAAUAAUGAAAAAAAAUAACAACAACAAGUAAUAAAGUCGGUUAAUUGGUGAGAGAGAAAAAAAAUAAAUAAAAAAGAAAGAAGAAAGAAGAAAGAAGAAAGAAGAAAGAUAUGUAAGUCGAUUAAAUAAAUAAAUAAAUAAUAACAAUAAUAAUACAAAUAAAAGGCGAUGGGGAGAUGACUAUAAAUAGGCUUGGUGUGUUGUUUUGCAACAAGAAAAUGGAAGGAUCAAAAUCCUUUUAAAGCAUUUCUUGAAUUUUGGGAUUCAUACAAGAUCAAAUCAGAAGGAAUAAUUAGAAGCGCAGUUGAGACUUUGUAGAUAAGAACACAACAUAGGUGGCAGGACUGGACGUCGCUCAAAGGGCUAACCAUCAAACUCACUGUUAUGGCUAUAUAUGCAUUUUGUACCACUACGCUAAUGUUUUAUGGAUCUUGGUGUUCUGUAAAAUAAACUUUUUAUACAGUUUUCUACCUAAUUAAUAAAAGUUUAGAUACGUUCUUUUGAAAUUUUUACUAAAACUCAUCUCAUGAUAGAAAAGUCUAAGUAUGCAUAUCGUAGCUAUCGGACCUUAUUAUGUAAGGGUCAGAUCGUUACAUAUUCGAUGCAGAAUGUGGCGCCAUUGGAGACAUUGGUGAUGGAUGAAGCUGCACUCGAGUGUGAGGCUGCAAUUCCUUUGCAAUUUCCUUGCCUUAUUGGUGAUGAAUGCCAAUUGCCUGCUAUGGUUGAAAGCAAAGUUGCAGAUGAAGCCAAGUUUGGAAGAAGCUUGUUUGAGAGGUUGAGUUCAUUGGGCCAUCAAAAGCAUCUUCUGAAUGUACAGUGUAGAAUGCAUCCAUCUAUAAGCUGUUUUCCAAACUCAAAAGUUUUAUUCAAGCCAAAUCUCAGAUGGCCCUAAUGUCAAAACUAAAGCCUAUGUGAAGAAUUUUCUUCAUGGUCACAUGUUUGGUUCAUAUUCUUUCAUAGAUAUAAAUGAGGGAAGAGAAGAGAGGGAUGGCAUUACACAAAGUUGGAAAAAUAUGCUAGAGGUUGAUGUUGUGCUGCAAAUUAUUCACAAAUUGAACAACAAAAGCAACAUGUGUGGACUCAAAUGAAAAGAUUAGCAUUGGUGUGAUCUCACCUUAUUCAGCUUAAGUAGCUUCCAUUGAACACAAACUUGGGAGAAACUAUAAUAACUGUAAUAGCUUUAAAGUAAGAGUGAGCUCACUUGAUGGAUUCCAAGGUGGGGAGGAGGAUAUCAUUAUCAUUUCUACCGUACGAUCAAAUAGAAGUUCAUCGAUCAGGUUCUUAUCCAGUAAUCAGAGAACAAUGUCGCUCUUACUAGAGCUAGCAUUUGGUUUUAAGAUAACUUUUCCUUAUAUUGAAAUGCUAUAAAAUAGACACUGUUUGUGGAUUUUGGGGAACUUCAAUACACUAUCAAAGAGUGAUUCUAUUUGGGAAGAUUUAGUUUUUUAUGCCUAGAACCGUGGUUGUUUCUUCCAUGCUGAUGAAGAUAAGGACUUGGCCAAUGUAAUAUCUAGUUGGAAGACGGAUGUCGAGAAAGAUAUUGAUGAUUUAAUGGUCGGAAAAUGGUGGAACUUGCAAGAAGCGAAAAUUUCGAAGCAUGAAAAUGAAGCUAAUAUGGACAAGGAUAAUGCUCUAACCAUACUUUAAGGACUAAUCAUUCGUUCAAGGGCCCAGAAGCUACAACUUGUAUCGUCCUCAAUCUCGAACCCUGGCGGCAUACUCAUCGAAGAAUGAAAAAGAUGGAAGGGCAGAAGAAAAUAGGUGAGAAGACAUUUAAGGCAUUAGAAAUUGAGGAAAUUACGGAACCCUUAUGUUUAUUAAUUUCUUGAAGAUGCUAAAAUUUGGGAGGAUUCGAAGCUUUCUUCAAACUAUGAAGCUUUUUGUUAUAUUUAAGGGUUUCAAUUCUACUGUUCUAGAAAUGUUCAAGGGUGUUACUACGCUUUAUUAUUAUUAUGCUUUAAACUAAUUAAUGGUGUUUAAUUUCUUCUCCUUUAAUCUAA
This is a non-coding RNA of Benincasa hispida (wax gourd), 3550 nucleotides long. NCBI's taxonomy places the organism in Eukaryota, Viridiplantae, Streptophyta, Magnoliopsida, Cucurbitales, Cucurbitaceae. The record is from RefSeq and is a predicted model, not a curated record.